GGAUCAGGAAGCAGACAACGAGACUUGCAGACGAGUUACUCAGUUGUUCAUUUGUGUUUAUUUGAUAGAUCAUUGAGAUCAUAUCACCACUUAGACGGAACAGCUUCAGCUUACCAAUUAAUUCUCCAAGUUUUUAGAAGAAGGAUUUGACUUGGCUAGUCAACAACACAAGCCAAGAUCAUUGAGAUCAUAUCACCACUGUUAGACGGAACAGGUUCAGCUUACCAAUUCUCCAAGUUUUUAGAAGAAGGAUUUGACUUGGCUAGUCAACAACACAAGCCAAGAUCACUGAGAUCAUAUCACCACUGUUAGACGGAACAGCUUCAGCUUACCAAUUCUCCAAGUUUUUAGAAGAAGAAUUUGACUUGGCUAGUCAACAACACUCCAAGAUCAUUGUAUUCAUAUCAUCACUGUUACAUGGAACACCUUUAGUUUUUGUAAAGAUGCUGCCAGCUAUCCAGCUAAUGUUGAAGGCAUGCAGUCUCAAUCGAUCAUCAUAAACUAGUUAGCUCUGCCAACAUCAGUGAUAUUGUUUGUACCAAACACACUCAGGCAUGCCUUAGUGUGAACUGAGUUCAUUGAGUUUUUAUUUUAUUUAUUAUUUUGUUAUUUCACAUUUUCAUGACAUGGCAACGUCAUGAAAAUUUGCACAUUUCAAACAUAUCGGCAACGUUUAGAGUGUCGAAGACGCUCAUUUCUCCUAGCACUUCACGAGAGCACUUCUCUCGUGGUGAAACCGUGAAAUAGUGUUUUAUUAAUGUGAAAUAAGAAGCCGUCAAGUCGAUAUUCGAAAUUUUCCGUCACAUAAAAGUUCCAAACUCUUCAUCUAUGCGAUGGAAAUCAUUCAGUGGGGUGCUUCUGAAGUUAGGCAAGCUUUGGAAGCAGAAGGAUUUGAGUUGGAUAUCUGCAAAACUUUGUGUACGCUCAGAGAAUCUCAAUCCAACAUGUUCAAGUCAAGCUGAGACAGUGAACACCAAUGCUGGCAAAUCAUUCAUUUCUUAAGAUUAGUAGACAGAUUUUAAGUAGGUAAAAAAGUUAAGUAUGCGUAAAUAAAUAAGUAUGGUGAA
Molecule: long non-coding RNA, 1067 nt
Organism: Daphnia pulex (common water flea)
Lineage: Eukaryota; Metazoa; Arthropoda; Branchiopoda; Diplostraca; Daphniidae
Exons: 7
Source: RefSeq, a predicted model, not a curated record